UACGGAGGGGGCUAGCGUUGUUCGGAAUUACUGGGCGUAAAGCGCACGUAGGCGGCUUUGUAAGUUAGAGGUGAAAGCCCGGAGCUCAACUCCGGAACUGCCUUUAAAAACUGCAUCGCUUGAAUCCAGGAGAGGUGAGUGGAAUUCCGAGUGUAGAGGUGAAAUUCGUAGAUAUUCGGGAAGAACACCACGUGGCGAAGGACGG
RNAcentral lists this ribosomal RNA (205 nucleotides) under uncultured bacterium. Its description in RNAcentral is "partial 16S ribosomal RNA". It matches the Rfam family "Bacterial small subunit ribosomal RNA", at positions 524 to 724 of the family's 1533-position model. The record is from RNAcentral.